This 29-nucleotide small RNA is filed under the name Bombyx mori (domestic silkworm). Its description in RNAcentral is "ovarian small RNA-12880". The record is from RNAcentral. Lineage: Eukaryota; Metazoa; Arthropoda; Insecta; Lepidoptera; Bombycidae.
CACAAAUCGAGCAUCGCCUUCCAGGACCC